GCAGUCGUGGCCGAGUGGUUAAGGCGAUGACUAGAAAUUCAUUGGGGUCUCCCCGCACAGGUUCGAAUCCUGUCGACUGCG
Non-coding RNA from Ixodes scapularis (black-legged tick), 81 nucleotides. NCBI's taxonomy places the organism in Eukaryota, Metazoa, Arthropoda, Arachnida, Ixodida, Ixodidae. The record is from Rfam.